This 862-nucleotide ribosomal RNA is filed under the name uncultured bacterium. Its description in RNAcentral is "bacterial SSU rRNA". It matches the Rfam family "Bacterial small subunit ribosomal RNA", at positions 1 to 896 of the family's 1533-position model. The record is from RNAcentral.
AUUAAAAUUUAAUAAUCUAUCACGUCGCGUCUUAAUACAUGCAGUCGAACGGGAAUUAUAGCAAUAUGAUGUCUUAGUGGCGAACGGGUGAGUAACGCGUUGGUGACCUGCCCCGAGUGAGGGAUAACAGUUCGAAAGGACUGCUAAUACCCCAUGUGGUCACGAGAGUUAGAGGUCUCAUGUCUAAAGGAGUAAUCCGCUUUGGGAGGGGCCUGCGUCCCAUCAGCUAGUUGGUAGGGUAAUGGCCUACCAAGGCUUCGACGGGUAGGGGACCUGAGAGGGUGACCCCCCACACUGGCACUGAAACACGGGCCAGACACCUACGGGUGGCAGCAGUAGGGAAUAUUGCACAAUGGGCGAAAGCCUGAUGCAGCAACGCCGCGUGCGCGAUGAAGGCCUUCGGGUCGUAAAGCGCUUUUCGGGGAGAUGAGGAAGGACAGUAUCCCCGGAAUAAGGCUCGGCUAACUACGUGCCAGCAGCCGCGGUAAAACGUAGGAGCCUAGCGUUAUCCGAAUUUACUGGGCGUAAAGCGCGUGCAGGCGGUUCGGUAAGUUGGAUGUGAAAUCUCCUGGCUCAACUGGGAGAGGUCGUUCAAUACUGUCGGACUCGAGGAUGGUAGAGGGAGGUGGAAUUCCCGGUGUAGUGGUGAAAUGCGUAGAUAUCGGGAGGAAUACCAGUGGCGAAGGCGGCCUCCUGGCCCAUUCCUGACGCUCAGACGCGAAAGCUAGGGGAGCGAACGGGAUUAGAAACCCCGGUAGUCCUAGCCGUAAACGAUGUGGACUUGGCGUUGGUGGGGUAAAAUCCAUCAGUGCCGGAGCUAACGCGGUAAGUCCACCGCCUGGGGACUACGGCCGCAAGGUUA